RNAcentral lists this unclassified non-coding RNA (1740 nucleotides) under Lytechinus variegatus (green sea urchin). RNAcentral describes it as "uncharacterized LOC121415020, transcript variant X1". The record is from RNAcentral. Lineage: Eukaryota; Metazoa; Echinodermata; Echinoidea; Temnopleuroida; Toxopneustidae.
AUUGAUUACUAUAUUUUGUUCUUUCCAGAUUGUACCGCAAGGUAUUUAAAGAAGAGUUUGGGGAGUCAACUGGUGAGGGGAUGCUGCAUAGCCUUAGAACGUACAUCUCUCAUUACAACACGCAAGUGGGCUCAGAGUGCAUGGCGCUUGAUAUAACAAGCGACAACAAAGUUGUGAUGGCUAUAUGCACUCCGCUAAUGAAGAGGGUCCAUGAAGAAGUGAAACAUGCCUCAGAGCUGGUAUUCAUCGAUGCCUCAUCGAACAUGGACAGGUACGGCUGUAGUGUCUUUUUGCUGCUGACGCAUAGUUGUGCAGGUGGCCUUCCUCUGGGGGUGCUCAUCACCUCUAGUGAAGCAGAGGGGGUGAUUGAGGCAGCCCUCAAGCUGUACCGCUCUCUCCUUCCCCAGAAGUGUUUUGGAGGAAGAGGAGUCCAAGGGCCAGCUCUCAUCAUGACCGAUGACUCUGCAGCAGAACAGAAUGCCAUCAGUCACGUUUUCCCUGCCAGUCAGACACUCCUUUGCGUGUUCCAUGUUCUCCAAGCCACGUGGAGAUGGUUGUGGAAUGGCAAAAACCAAAUCCCCAAGGAGCAGCGACCCAAUCACCUCCAACAUCUAAAGCGCCUCAUCUACGCCUGUACUGAGGAGGAGCUUGAGGAACUGUACCAGGAGAGUCUUCAAGACACAACCCUGUCCGACAAAUUCAAAGAGCAUCUUACUGGCUACUAUGGGAGGAAGGAGAAGUGGGCAAUUGCUUGUCGACUUGACCUCCAGGUGCGUGGUAAUAACACCAACAAUUUUUGCGAGGCAGCCAUGCGUGUCCUAAAGGAUAAGAUCCUGGAAAGGACAAAGGCCUUCAGUAUUCCCCAGCUGGCAGACUAUAUGUCCACCUUUCUGGAUGAAUACUACCAACAACGGCUGAUUGAUGUAGCCAAUGGACGCCUGCAGAAUGUGAUUGCCUCUAGGUAUAUGCCCCAGGAGAAAUCAAUCAAGCUCCAUGACAUCAGACAGCUCUCAGACUCCCAGUUCAUCGUAACAAGUCAGACUUCGCAAGACAGGGGGUACGAUGUCGAUAUGGAACUUGGACACUGUUCUUGUCAUGCUGGGAAGACUGGAGCCCCCUGCAAACACCAGGCAGCAGUGGUGAAACAUUUCAAUGUUUCUUCGACAAACUUUGUCCCAGUCAAUGACCCGCAGUCAAGACUACUGCUGUAUAAGAUCGCAACAGGAAAUUGUAGUGUUCCAUCAGGGUUCUUUGAUGGAUUAAUGACCCAGCCCUCAGUAUCAGGAGAUAUUUCCAUCAUGGAUGCUAGCUUCCCAGCAGAACCAGUAAUAGAUGAGAUGGAAUCUAUUCCUACAAGCCAAAUUGAUCCCAAUCCUGCUGUUGCAAGUCUGCGUGCACAAGCAGCUGCUCAGAACCACUUUGAUCUUCGAGGCUCGACAAGAUCAGCACAAACAUCUUCCAGCACCAAUGGUUUAGAAAGUACUUCAUCUAAUUCUGGCCUGCAUGGAUGAAUGAUCAAGGAUUUAGUACCGGUCUUAUAAUAAAGUCAACCUACAGGUGAUGAUUUGCAGCAUUUCUUCAGUGCCAUUUACACGUGAAAACACAAUCAAAGGUACCCGGGGGCCGUACCAUUAAACUGUCAUAAGUAUGAUGACCAGCUCCUAGAACAAUUCCAGAAUAUGCAUGAUGACCUGUGCACCAAGAUGAAACAGUCACCAGACCUCUAUAGACCCGCCAUAA